CCCGCCCCCCCCACUGUCCCCGCCCCCUCCCUCGCCUAGCACUUCCCCGCAGCGCUUUGUGGGCGGCUCGUCCUUUUCUUGACGCGAGUCCUACGUCAGGGAGCCGCCAGCCGCCUUGGCCCAGACUCUUACCAGCGGGCGCGGGAUAAGGCGCAGCCUUGAAUGAACGUGAGCUCUGGCCCCGCUUAACUCGUGGAAAAUGUUUCCACGUAGUCUUUUGAAGUUAUUUAGCGACCAGGACAUAAUUUCAAACCUCCUCCCCCUCGCCUCCCCAGUCGUUCCAGUUCACCUACUUGGUAGCUGGAGUGAAAUAGGAGCCAUUUAAAAAUCUCCUGUGCUGGAAACAUAGUAGAAGCUUCCCCAGUGUCCUCUUUUCUCCCUUCUCUCAAUGUUAGUUGAAUUGAGCAAUACAGUUGUUGGUUGCUGACUUACAACAGAUGCUUGCCCUUUUGCUUCUGUUGCUUGAUUUAACGAAAUUGUUAGUGUACUUUGCCUGUUGAGAAAAUUAAACAUGAUUACCAAAAAAAAUUUUUUUAACCAACAGCUAGAUAGACAUAUUGUAAAUGACAUCUUCUGAAAGACAAGGUUGGUUUUGUGGGCAUGCAACCUGUCCAGUGGAACAGGACCUCAGAAGGACUCUGAGGUCCUAGUUUCUUUCCUGUGCCGCAUUAUUAAUAAAUUCUGAAAAAGCCCACAUAUUUCCGUUUUGCACUGGGCCCUGCAAAUGAUGUGGGCGAUCUUCUGAAAGGAGUGGUAGGGUAAGUGACCUCUGUUGGAACCUAUGUUGUAAAUAUAGAUGCCACUCAGGAGACUACCUGUCAGCAUUUGUCCCCGUGGCCCAGGCCUAUUUGGCCAUAGUGACCUAUGGACUGAACUAAUCUGUGGAGCUGUGGAUCGACUGGAAUUCGGGCUGAAGGCUCUGAAAAGCAGUUCAACAUGAUGACAUAAGAAGAGCUUGAACUCACCUCCUCCCAGAGACACACCAAGUCUACAGCUACUUAUGGUGCAGUUCACUCCGAAAAAGACGUGAAAAUUAGCUGAGUAACUCCUUCACAUCAGCAAACACAUCAAAGCAGAAGUUGGGCUUUUAAUGUGACGAUCUUGCACUGAAAGGUAAAGAGAUUGAAUUGUGACUCGUCAAACAUGGAUUGUCAGCUGUCACUGGGACACCUGAAAGUCCAUCCACAUCUCUCAUCCCAGGCAGAUUGGCAUCCACCCACCACCUUCUUCCCCUGACAAUAUGUCAUGAAACCCAAAUAGAAUCUGAAUGAUACAAUGGAAUUUGAAAAAAUUAUCAGAGCCUCAUUUUGUUGUUGGAAUCACAGUAAAGCUACUUUUCAAAUUCUUCCAUUCAACUUGUCAUCUGUAAUAAGUGGAUAUCAUCCUAUCCACCAACAGAAAAGUGUUCUUUUCUAGACUGCAUAUUUAGCAACGUGCUCAUGAGCAAAGGUUUAUUUGCCAAAAAAAUUCAUCUCUGACCCACAUGAUGGAACCUCAUCUUUAAAGAACUACAUCCUUCCAUUUGUUUAAAAGGGGGUAGAUUUUGGAGUGGUUCCUUCUGAAAGCUUGGAGAAUGAAACUCACAUGUGACACCUCAUUUCAGAGACUCUGAUCUAGAAGGUCCCUCCAGCAUCAUGCAGCUCUGUUCAUACUUGGAGCUUAGUAAAUGCUUGUGGGAUUAGUGAGCAAAUGAAUGAGAAGAAGAGAAAAGAUAAGGGAUUAUAAAGGUAAAGUAUAAUCAAUUUUAUAGACACAACUUGCAUUUCUGGAUUAUCUCAGAAUAUUUUCCUUCAUUUUUGCCCAAAAACCAAAUGAGUAAAUGAGGUUACCAAUUAGCCACAUAGGGCAGAAAGAGGGAAAACUGAUAUUUAUGUGACACUUAACAUGUAUACCUUGUGAGAGAACUAUGUAUAGGAUUAACCAGCACAUGUGCUGUGCUGACUACCUUAACAGCUAAAAUCACAAGGGAAAAGAUGGCUGUGAAAUGCAGCACCUGAGAGAGAAUCAGGAGACCUGGGUUUAUUCCUGACUGUCCUAACUCAUAGAUCUAGAGCUGUUGUUUUUCUCAAAGCUCUCUUUCAAGUAAAUUAAAUAGGUAUGUAUUAGGAAACUAGAGCAUGAUACAGUGGGGAAAGCACAGACUAGGGCAUCACAAGACACAGGUUUGCACCAUCACUAGCUGAGUGACCUUAGGCUGCUGAGUUUUAAAGCCUCCCUCUGGAAGGUGGAGAUAAUAAAAAGAGGCCUUCCCUAAUUUACCUACAGGGCUUUGGUGAGAAAACAGUGAGGUGAUGUGUCAAUUAUUUUGUAAACUCUUAAGUUCAAAGUGAUUAUUAUUAACUUGGCACUAUGCUUGAUUCUGUGGGUACCACAGAAGACCUUUGAGAACCUUCGUGAAGUCUAAGAUCUUGUAGGGAAAAUGAAAUAGACACAGGUGAUUUAGAAAGACAGCAGUGCAGGAUAGAAUGAGAUCAACAGGCAAAACAGGUGACGGGGAUAAACACUCCUACACGAUGUCAGAAUGUGAUGAUCAUUGUGGGUUAGUGUCUCCAGGAAAGAGUUGUGUAGGGGACAGGAUGGCUAAGCUGGGUCUUUUGGGUGAAUAGACUCUGGACAGGGGUCAGGUCCAAAGGCACGGAGACAGGUAUACGAUCGCUGUACAUCCGGGGCCGAAGUGCACUUGGCGUUGCUGGGGCUGAGUUGAGCUGGGUUUGGCAGGCAACUGAACUCAGGAGUAAGCACAUAUGCUCAUCAGAGGCCUCAAGAAGGUCCUCUGUCUGUGACAGCAACUGUUUUAGUCAUUCAUCCAGUGAUCAAAUAUUAAUCGAACAUAUAGUGAACUAGGUACUUUAGGAAUCGAGAGGAAGAAGCUGCUUGAGUCUAUAAUCACUACAGUUCAAGAUUUUCGGCUGUCGUUCACAAACUCAUCAAUCCAAAGCAAGACUAGGAGGAAGAACAUAUGAGGUGUAAACAGAAAAUCUAGGUUUAGCACUGGCAUCAAAUUGUUAAAAUGCAAUCAAGGUAAAUCUGUAUCUACCCUGGAUAUAUUUUUUUAAGGCAGCUAUAAUGCAGGAUAGCAGUUCUCAAACAUUUUGGUCUCAAGACUCUUUUACACAUUGAAAAAUUACUGGGGACUCCAAAGCGUUUUUGUUUCUGUGGGUUACAUCUAUAAAUAUUUGCCGUAUUAGAAAUGAAAGCUGUGAACACUGAAGAUAAGUUAUCAAUCCAUUUUAAAAUGAAACGAAUAAACCCAUCAUAUAUUAACAUAAAUAAUAUUUUUUAUGAAAAAUACUUAUGUUUUCCAGAACAAAACAGUGGCACUGUUUUGCAGUUUUGAAAAUCUCUUUAGUGUUUGGCUUAAUAGAAGACAGCUGGAUUCUCACAUAUGCUUCUGCUUCAGUCUGUUAUAUUGCAUGUCAGGUAUCCUCUGGAAGAUUCCCCUGCACCCUCAUAAAAGGAUGAAACGGAAGAGGGCAAAUGACACUUUAUAUUUUCCCAGCUUUACUGAUAUAUAUUUGACAUAUACCGUUGUGUAUGUUUAAGGUGUACAAUGUGACGAUUUGAUGCACAUAUAUUUUGCGAAAUGUUUACCACAAUAAGGUUAGUUAACACAUCCUUUACCUCACAUAAUUACCAUUUUGUUGUUGUUACAGUGAGAACAUUAAAGCUCUACGCUCAUAGAAACAUUCAAGUAUACAGUAAGUAUUGUUAACUAUAGUCACCACGCUGUACCUUAGAGUCCAGGACUUAUUCGUCUUAGAACCAAAAGUUUGCACCCUCAUUUCCCCCAACCCUGGGGUUGCUAACCAUCAUUUUACUCGGUUUGUAUAGAUUCCACAUAUAAGUGAAAUCAUACAGUAUUUGUCCUUCUCUGUCUGAUUUAUUCACUUAGCAUAGUGCCUUCAAGGUCCAUCCAUGUUGUCACAAAAGGCAGGACACAAAUACAUAUACACCAUAUUUUCUUUAUCCAUUCAUCAGUGGACACUCAGGUGUUUCCAUAUCUUGGCUAUUGUGAAUAAUGCUGUGAAGAACAUGGGGGUGUAGAUAGCUCUUUGAGAUAGUGAUCUCCUUUACUUUGGAUAUUAUUAUUACUAUUAUUAUUAUUAAAAUAGUAUUGACCUCCUUGGCUUCCCGAAAGCAUCCCGGAGAUCCCUGGAACCCACACUGCAAGCCACUGACGUGUAGAAGAAAAAGCCACCAGCUUCGAAUCAGAAAACUCAAGUUUGGAUCCCCUAUGACCUUAAGCAAGCCACCUAAUGUGUCUGAGCUUUUUCUCCCAUAAAAUGGGGGAUUUGGGCUAUCCCUGGUGGCGCAGUGGUUGAGAGUCCGCCUGACGAUGCAGGGGACACGGGUUCGUGCCCCGGUCCGGGAAGAUCUCACGUGCCGCGGAGUGGCUGGGCCCGUGAGCCAUGGCCGCUGAGCCUGCGCGUCCGGAGCCUGUGCUCCGCAGCGGGAGAGGCCACAACAGUGAGAGGCCCGCGUACCGAAAAAAAAAAAAAAAAAAAAAAAAAAAAAAAAGGAGGAUUUAAUAGUAUCCCCAUUAAAGGAUUCUCAUGAGGACUAUACAUGAGAAUUGCUCUACUGGUUAUAGUAAAUACAGAAUUGUCUAGCAGACAGAAAUAAUAGAGAAGAAUGUUCGACAGCCUUUCUUAGUGUGCAGACCAGCUUGCUGUCAUCCUUGCAGCUUAGCUUAAAAUCUGUCUUGCUUGCCUCUUUUGCACAGAGGUCUGAGAAGAGGGAACCAGUUCACUAGUCACUACAAGGGCCAUGUAAAGCAAGACCAUCUCCUAGACUGGCUGAGAACAGACUCCUCUGCUCUGACAUUUUCCACAACUAAGUAGCAAGUGGUGAAAAUUUAAUGACCUCUUCUGCAGAUGGUGACAAUUAAGUCAACUGCCACGAGUACUGAGUAAUGGGUGUGCAAUGUGAUAUGACUUCAGAAAGUACAUGUUAGGAUUCACAGAGCAAGGAUAUAAAAGAGUUUUCUCCUGUGCACUUCCUCUGCGGGAACAAGGGCGGCCUGAGGACGUCUGGGGCUUCUUUCACAGGUGCUGGGAUUCGUGGAAAUCAGCACGAAUGGCUUUCUCCCAAGGCAGCCCCAGUGAAAGGUUCUCCAAGAUGGAUCUACCACUGCUUGCUUUAUCAGUCAUGGAUUUGGGUUUCAAGCAAUAGAAGCUGAUUGGGCUGAUUUAGCAGAAAAUGAGUUUAAUAAAAUGAUACUGAGUAGUUCAAAGAAUUCUUGAGAGGGCUGGGCUCCAGGCUAAAAUUCCAGGAGUAAAAUUGCAUUGCCGACCUGGUCUGAUGUGGAAACUUCUGCUCUUUUCUUUGUCCACUGAGCAUCAGAGCCUCCUGCCUCGUCAGUGUCACUUCUUUACUAGGGGAUCAAUCAUGCAGCCACUGGGAACCUGAUGGCCCAGCCAUCAGGCAAAGACAUCAUAUUUGUUCACUUUGCCCUUUUCCACAUCACAGUUUUGCCAGGAACCACAGUUUUGCCAUGGUCUUUGGAGGAACCUAGACCAUGAGCCAAUGUCCUAGCUACCAGGAAGGCUGGGAAUUUGAGUUCUGCCUCUCGGGAAUUUCUCCAAAUAUAGAAAGGCUAGUUGAAAGAGACAGGCAGCUAUGACUACGGCGGGUACCCAUUUCACUGGACCUAGGUAUGGCCGAUUUGCAGCUGUUUUAAUUGGGCUCGGUGUGGGGAGAUGCCUCGUCCAAAGAUGGCAAGGCUGGAAUUUCUAGCCUUUUCCUAUUUUCCUCUUUUCCCUACGAUUGUUCUCUUUCUCCGUCAACCCUGCAGUCGGCAUAUGUUCAAGUAUCUAAUACUUAAAAGUAAAUCAGUCUGGAAAUUACAUACCAGUAGCUGUGAACCUGAAUGCAUACGGGACUAAUGUAGUCAUAUAGCUGGGUUAUGGGUUGGGGUAUAAGAUGACAGGAGAGUGGUGCUUGGAAAACUGAACAGGACAAUUGGGUUCAAUUAAGAAAAAACACAUUGUGCAAGUCAAACCAAACAGAUCUCUGGGCCAGACCGAGUUUUCAUUUUUCAAUUAGCUUGGCAUAGGUUUGAAGCUUUAAAAAGUGUUUUGCGGUGGAUUCUUCUAUAUUCACAUCUCUUAUAGGCUUCUCAUCUUGGCCUCGUCCUUGGGGUCACUGUCCCUGUCCUGAUAAACCGACGCUGUUUCUACCAUAAGGCUCAAACACAUUUUAAUUUUUGUUCCUAAGUCCUUUGAUCAAGCAGCGUCUUUCUCAGCGUGGGUUGCAGAUGCACUCCCCUUGGACUCAGAUCAGUGCUGCUGCCACACAGGUGGAUAAGCUCUUGUUCUGACAGGUGUCCCUGGAGGAGGGGGACACAGAAAGUCCCUAACUAGUGACUCCCGUUUUUAACCUGAGCUGGUCUUCUGUAUGGCCCUCCUGUCUUAGCCCCUCUCUCUUUGAGCUGGUAGGAUACUAGAAGCUUCUUAACAGCUUCCCACUCUUAUCCCCCAUCCAUCUGGUUGGCCCAGACCUCCAAACUUCCCAGCCAGUUUAAGGGAUUCUGAGAUGAAGAGCUUUGGGUUUUGAUUCUCCUAGACUGUGUUUUCAGCAAGUGCUACUAAAAGUACCACUCUGUGAGAUUUCAUUUACUCUAACUUCUACAAGGUUAUUCCUACCCUGAAAUUUUACUGAUGUUGGGGGAGAUAAAAUUUUUGUAACAACUGUUGGUGGGAAUGUAAAUUGAUACAGCCACUAUGGAGAACAGUAUGGAGGCUCCAUAAAAAACUAAAAACAGAGCUACCAUACGACCCAGCAAUCCCACUACUGGGCAUAUACCCUGAGAAAACCAUAAUUCAAAAAGAGUCAUUUACUACAAUGUUCAUUGCAGCUCUAUUUACCAUAGCCAGGACAUGGAAGCAACCUAAGUGUCCAUCGACAGAUGAAUGGAUAAAGAAGAUGUGGCACAUAUAUACAGUGGAAUAUUACUCAGCCAUAAAAAGAAAUGAAGUUGAGUUAUUUGUAGUGAGGUGGAUGGACCUCAUGUCUGUCAUACAGAGUGAAGUAAGUCAGAAAGAGAAAAACAAAUACCGUAUGCUAACAUAUAUAUAUGGAAUCUAAAAAAAGUGGUUCUGAUGAACCUGGGGGCAGGAUAGGAAUAAAGAGACAGACAUAGAUAAUGGACUUGAGGACAUGGGGAGGGGGAAGGGUAACCUGGGAUGAAGUGAGAGAGUAGCAUUGACAUGUAUACACUACCAAAUGUAAAAUAGAUAGCUAGUGGGAAGCAGCCGCAUAGCACAGGGAGAUCAGCUCGGUGCUUUGUGACCACCUAGAGGGGUGGGAUAGGGAAGGUGGGAGGGAGACGCAAGAGGGAGGGGAUAUGGGGAUAUAGCUAUACGUAUAGCUGAUUCACUUUGUUAUACAGCAGAAACUAACACAACAUUGUAAAGCAAUUAUACUCCAAUAAAGGUGUUAAAAAAAAUUUUUUUGCAA
This is a long non-coding RNA of Orcinus orca (killer whale), 7458 nucleotides long. RefSeq lists it as uncharacterized. The record is from RefSeq and is a predicted model, not a curated record. The transcript is spliced from 4 exons. Lineage: Eukaryota; Metazoa; Chordata; Mammalia; Artiodactyla; Delphinidae.